RNAcentral lists this ribosomal RNA (699 nucleotides) under Triticum aestivum (bread wheat). Its description in RNAcentral is "partial small subunit ribosomal RNA". Lineage: Eukaryota; Viridiplantae; Streptophyta; Magnoliopsida; Poales; Poaceae. The record is from RNAcentral.
AUGGAAAGUAUUGAAGAACUGAUAAGUAAGAUUUCCCAUCAAUUAGAUGAUUUAGCUCAGCAGCGAGGAGUAGUUUUUGAGGAUAGGCCUGGUUCUUAUUAUCCUUAUUCCGGAGGCAAUCCUUAUAUUGCUCCUACAUGCCAUAUUUGUGGAUUUCACGGCCAUUCACCCGCUCAAUGUCAGCAUGGUUAUUCUCACACUCCAGAUUGUUUUGGCAUGAGCUUCGCUCAAGAGCAUAGCUCAUACCAAAACAAGUACUCACAUGGGUGGCCUGAAAACCCGAAUAUGUCAUAUAGGAGCAACAACCCUGAGAUCUCACCAUUUGCUUCUAGUAAUCAUAUGCAGGGAUUUAGGUAUGAAGAGGAGAGCCACAAUUAUGCUCCACAACAGUCUUAUUCAGCUCCUAUUCAUAUACCUCAGCACCAGGAGAUGUUGCCAAUGGAGUUAAAUGGUCCUCCAUUUGGUCAACCAACACCUUCAACACAAGUGCCUACUCAAGAUGAGUUCGAUGACAUAGACAAGCUCGCACUUUUGAGUCUCGAGUUCACUUGGAGUGCCGAGGAUGAUCCUAUUAGGAAGGUUAUACUAGAUGAAAUGAAGAAUAUCAAGAGUGGGAAUGAGCUAGUGGAAGAAGUAAAGAAGAUUGAGAAGAACAUCAACGCUGGCAGUACUAUUUCUUCACAGCUUGAGGUGCCUUGA